Molecule: long non-coding RNA, 426 nt
Filed under: Carica papaya (papaya)
Lineage: Eukaryota; Viridiplantae; Streptophyta; Magnoliopsida; Brassicales; Caricaceae
Description: long non-coding RNA (CPAP_LNC006146)
Source: RNAcentral
UUACUAUACAAAAGUAUGAAAGAGUAACAUUAAUAUCUGAGUCUAGACUUCAGAAAUUUCCUCUGUAUCACCAUUUACUUUGCAACGGUAUCUUCAGUAUCUGGAAGGUGAUAGGGGGGUGAGAUAAAAUAUCCCAGUAAGCAAUAUUAUGAAAUCACAGCAUAGUACAUGUAAUAUAUAGUUUCUUUACACAUAACAAAACAUAUAUCAUAUAAUCUUUUCAAAACAAAUACGAAUUAGAAGACGAAGGCACAAAUCAGAAACCAGAUUCAUGUUGUAUACUUCCUCACUAUUAUGGAGGAUCAAUCAAUUACCAUACAUUAUGUGUAGGCACAGAUACUUAUCACAAGUUCUCAAGGUACCCAAAAACAGAACAGCAUACAUGAGUACCUUGAAACAUUGCUACCCCCCGAACACAGAACGGUU